CAACUCGACUGCAUGAAGUCGGAAUCGCUAGUAAUCGCGGAUCAGCAUGCCGCGGUGAAUACGUUCCCGGGCCUUGUACACACCGCCCGUCACACCAUGAGAGUCGGGAACACCCGAAGUCCGUAGCCUAACCGCAAGGGGGCGCGGCCGAAGGUGGGUUCGAUAAUUGGGGUGAAGUCGUAACAAGGUAAC
Molecule: ribosomal RNA, 192 nt
Filed under: uncultured bacterium
Lineage: Bacteria
Description: partial 16S ribosomal RNA
Rfam family: Bacterial small subunit ribosomal RNA
Source: RNAcentral